This 253-nucleotide ribosomal RNA is filed under the name uncultured bacterium. RNAcentral's name for it is "partial 16S ribosomal RNA". It matches the Rfam family "Bacterial small subunit ribosomal RNA", at positions 524 to 776 of the family's 1533-position model. The record is from RNAcentral.
UACGAAGGGUGCAAGCGUUACUCGGAAUUACUGGGCGUAAAGCGCGCGUAGGUGGUGAGUUAAGUCUGUCGUGAAAGCCCCGGGCUCAACCUGGGAAUGGCGAUGGAUACUGGCUCGCUAGAGUGCGGUAGAGGAGAGUGGAAUUCCCGGUGUAGCAGUGAAAUGCGUAGAGAUCGGGAGGAACACCAGUGGCGAAGGCGAUCACCUGGGGUUGUUCUGACGCUGAGGAGCGAAAGCUAGGGGAGCAAACGGG